RNAcentral lists this long non-coding RNA (331 nucleotides) under Lathyrus oleraceus (garden pea). RNAcentral's name for it is "Pisum sativum (pea) long non-coding RNA (PSAT_LNC038779)". The record is from RNAcentral. Lineage: Eukaryota; Viridiplantae; Streptophyta; Magnoliopsida; Fabales; Fabaceae.
UUUUGACUUUGAUCCACUUCUCUGUGUGACGUUCAUGUUGUAUAAUUUUGACAUAUUCUUCACAAUAUAGGUGAUGUAAUAUUUCUUCCUUUGGUUGUUUUUUGAUAUUUCCGCAAUUAACACAAAUAGAAUAAAAUAGACCAUUAACUUCAAGAAGAUUGUGUUCUACGAAUUCAAGGAAUUCAAGAACUAUGAUCCAUAAUAAAUUCUGAAAUUUAUAUCAAAAGACUAAUGUGAAUUUCACACUAAUACUACACACACAACAUACUAAUAUGGUUAUAUGCAUACUAAUAUAUCCAUCACAAAAAUAUAAAAACCUAAAGCAUAUUCA